GAUAAACGCUGGCGGCGUGCCUAAUACAUGCAAGUCGAGCGAACGGACGAGAAGCUUGCUUCUCUGAUGUUAGCGGCGGACGGGUGAGUAACACGUGGAUAACCUACCUAUAAGACUGGGAUAACUUCGGGAAACCGGAGCUAAUACCGGAUAAUAUUUUGAACCGCAUGGUUCAAAAGUGAAAGACGGUCUUGCUGUCACUUAUAGAUGGAUCCGCGCUGCAUUAGCUAGUUGGUAAGGUAACGGCUUACCAAGGCAACGAUGCAUAGCCGACCUGAGAGGGUGAUCGGCCACACUGGAGCUGAGACACGGUCCAGACUCCUACGGGAGGCAGCAGUAGGGAAUCUUCCGCAAUGGGCGAAAGCCUGACGGAGCAACGCCGCGUGAGUGAUGAAGGUCUUCGGAUCGUAAAACUCUGUUAUUAGGGAAGAACAUAUGUGUAAGUAACUGUGCACAUCUUGACGGUACCUAAUCAGAAAGCCACGGCUAACUACGUGCCAGCAGCCGCGGUAAUACGUAGGUGGCAAGCGUUAUCCGGAAUUAUUGGGCGUAAAGCGCGCGUAGGCGGUUUUUUAAGUCUGAUGUGAAAGCCCACGGCUCAACCGUGGAGGGUCAUUGGAAACUGGAAAACUUGAGUGCAGAAGAGGAAAGUGGAAUUCCAUGUGUAGCGGUGAAAUGCGCAGAGAUAUGGAGGAACACCAGUGGCGAAGGCGACUUUCUGGUCUGUAACUGACGCUGAUGUGCGAAAGCGUGGGGAUCAAACAGGAUUAGAUACCCUGGUAGUCCACGCCGUAAACGAUGAGUGCUAAGUGUUAGGGGGUUUCCGCCCCUUAGUGCUGCAGCUAACGCAUUAAGCACUCCGCCUGGGGAGUACGACCGCAAGGUUGAAACUCAAAGGAAUUGACGGGGACCCGCACAAGCGGUGGAGCAUGUGGUUUAAUUCGAAGCGACGCGAAGAACCUUACCAAAUCUUGACAUCCUUUGACAACUCUAGAGAUAGAGCCUUCCCCUUCGGGGGACAAAGUGACAGGUGGUGCAUGGUUGUCGUCAGCUCGUGUCGUGAGAUGUUGGGUUAAGUCCCGCAACGAGCGCAACCCUUAAGCUUAGUUGCCAUCAUUAAGUUGGGCACUCUAAGUUGACUGCCGGUGACAAACCGGAGGAAGGUGGGGAUGACGUCAAAUCAUCAUGCCCCUUAUGAUUUGGGCUACACACGUGCUACAAUGGACAAUACAAAGGGCAGCGAAACCGCGAGGUCAAGCAAAUCCCAUAAAGUUGUUCUCAGUUCGGAUUGUAGUCUGCAACUCGACUACAUGAAGCUGGAAUCGCUAGUAAUCGUAGAUCAGCAUGCUACGGUGAAUACGUUCCCGGGUCU
RNAcentral lists this ribosomal RNA (1372 nucleotides) under uncultured bacterium. RNAcentral describes it as "bacterial SSU rRNA". It matches the Rfam family "Bacterial small subunit ribosomal RNA", at positions 28 to 1381 of the family's 1533-position model. The record is from RNAcentral.